AGUGAACGCUGGCGGUAGGCCUAACACAUGCAAGUCGAACGGCAGCACAGUAAGAGCUUGCCCUUACGGGUGGCGAGUGGCGGACGGGUGAGGAAUACAUCGGAAUCUACUUUUUCGUGGGGGAUAACGUAGGGAAACUUACGCUAAUACCGCAUACGACCUACGGGUGAAAGCAGGGGUUCUUCGGACCUUGCGCGAUUGAAUGAGCCGAUGUCGGAUUAGCUAGUUGGCGGGGUAAAGGCCCACCAAGGCGACGAUCCGUAGCUGGUCUGAGAGGAUGAUCAGCCACACUGGAACUGAGACACGGUCCAGACUCCUACGGGAGGCAGCAGUGGGGAAUAUUGGACAAUGGGCGCAAGCCUGAUCCAGCCCUACCGCGUGGGUGAAGAAGGCCUUCGGGUUGUAAAGCCCUUUUGUUGGGAAAGAAAAGCAGCAGGUUAAUACCCCGCUGUUCUGACGGUACCCAAAGAAUAAGCACCGGCUAACUUCGUG
Molecule: ribosomal RNA, 492 nt
Filed under: uncultured bacterium
Lineage: Bacteria
Description: partial 16S ribosomal RNA
Rfam family: Bacterial small subunit ribosomal RNA
Source: RNAcentral